GAUGAACGCUGGCGGCGGGCCUAAUACAUGCAAGUCGAGCGGACGAACGGGGCGUGCGCCUGUAUGCAGUGGGGGGCGGGCGGGUGAGUCACAGGUAGAUAACCGGCCGAGAGGGCUAACGUACGGUCGGGGGAGCGAAUCCAGCAUCGGACGAGAGGGUGAAACGCGGGGUUCAAAAGUGAAAGAGGGACUAGCUGUGACUAAGACAGGGAAGCGAGCUGGAUUAGCUAGUUGGUAAGGUAAAGGCGUACCAAGGCUACGAUGCGUAGCUGACCUGAGAGGGUGAUCAGCCACACUGGAACUGAGACACGGUCCAGACUCCUACGGGAGGCAGCAGUAGGGAAUAUUGCGCAAUGGGCGAAAGCCUGACCGAGCCACGCCGCGUGAGUGAUGAAGGUCUUCGGAUUGUAAAGCUCUGUUAUUUGGGAAGAACAUAUGUGUGAGUAACUCUUCCCAUUUUGACGGUACCUACACAGAAAGCCCCGGCUAACUACGUG
RNAcentral lists this ribosomal RNA (497 nucleotides) under uncultured bacterium. RNAcentral describes it as "partial 16S ribosomal RNA". It matches the Rfam family "Bacterial small subunit ribosomal RNA", at positions 28 to 507 of the family's 1533-position model. The record is from RNAcentral.